GAAAUGCGAUAAGUAAUGUGAAUUGCAGAAUUCAGUGAAUCAUCGAAUCUUUGAACGCACAUUGCGCCCGGCAGUAAUCUGCCGGGCAUGCCUGUCCGAGCGUCAUUUCAGCCCUCGAGCCGCUAUUUCUUCAGUGGAUCGGUGUUGGGGCACUACCGUAAUAGGUAGGCCCCGAAAUGCAGUGGCGGUCCCGCCGCGGCGCCCAAUGCGUAGUAACGUCUAGUCUCGCAUCGGGUCCCGGCGGAGGCCAGCCGUCAAGCCUAUUUUAUCUCAAGAUGGUUUGACCUCGGAUCAGGUAGGGUUACCCGCUGAACUUAA
Molecule: unclassified non-coding RNA, 318 nt
Filed under: uncultured Sordariomycetes
Lineage: Eukaryota; Fungi; Ascomycota; Sordariomycetes
Description: sequence contains ITS1
Rfam family: 5.8S ribosomal RNA (bases 1-105)
Source: RNAcentral